Molecule: long non-coding RNA, 3877 nt
Filed under: Sus scrofa (pig)
Lineage: Eukaryota; Metazoa; Chordata; Mammalia; Artiodactyla; Suidae
Description: lncRNA (ENSSSCG00065042529.1)
Source: RNAcentral
UUUAUUUAGGCUGCACCUGUGACACGUGGAAGUUCUCAGUCCAGGGAUCGAACCCAUGCUGCAGUUGCAGCCUGCAUUGCAGCAAUACCAGAUCCUUAACCCCAUAUGCCUCGAGGGAACUUCCUCCUUUUCUAUUCUUAUACUUCUACUCUCAUUUCCAGCAUUGUUUUAGAAGUAUUAUAGUCAUUAGUUGAUUUUUUAAUCAACCCUAAAAUUAAUGACAGAUACAAGAAUAAAUGGAAAUUAAGAUUUUAUUAUGAUAAAGAUAUUUUGAAUUCUAUUAGGAGGACUGUAACAAUCUUGAUAAGGCUGCAUAAAUGAUUUGGUUUUAAAAAUUCACUAAAUAGCAGUGGAAAAGUUUAAUGUGAAAUCUCACCGCAGCUAAUUAUGUGUAUUAGCUAUGUUGAGUAGUUUGCUAGCCCAGAUAACCUUUAAACUUUGGCUGUAAUGGUAAUUUACUUAAUGGAAGGGCUUAAUAGAAAUAUUGAAACAAAUGUACCUCCUUAGAUUUACUGAGAUUGGAUUGGAAAGUUAGAAGACAUGAAUGUGCUGUGCACACAUACUGACAGAAAACCAUGUCAUUUUAAUGAUUCAUAAUUUCUAAUUAGCCAUGAUUAUUCUGAGUGGUUGUGGAUAUACAUUUUAAUUGUAUCACAUACCGUAAUUUCCAAUUUCCGUGGAGACGCUGAUGAAGUGAAAGUCGUAUUGCAAAGUCAUCAUUUAAAUAUUUGAGAAAUGGAAAGCUUUGAGAGGGAUAAAUAUCCACAGCUUAAUUAUAAUUUCUAUUGAUCUCAGAAACCAAUUUUGUCCCUGUAAGGUGGAUGGCUGUCUCUUUUCUCUUCUCUAGCUCAGUGUCAUGGUGAGGUUUUGGAACUGUGACACCCUCUUCUCAGUGGCUGGAGAGCAUGCUAUACUUCUAUUAUGUAUUCAGCUUUUCCAAAGACAAAAAAGUAGUCAAAAGGAGUGGAGGUAGGGCUGGCAGAGCAAGUGAACUGAGUACUAGAAGGCAGAGAGGUCUCACCGUGAUACUCAUAUUUCACAUCAUUAUAUAGUAGAACUAUUUGGAGGAUACUUAAUCAAAUCUAUCUUGUAUUUAGGUAUUAAAAUCCAAAGUGAAAGAAUAGGUAGGUCUGCAAGCAAAAGACAAUUGUCUGAACAAAACACGUCUCCCUGUAGCUUCUGAUGUGAGAUGUGGAAAUAAAGCGAGUUAGCAGUUGUGUAUCUUCAUGAAGAUUAAAACAAUUUAAAGCUAUUUGAUGGCUUCUUCUAGACACAGAGACAUCCUCUGUGUCACCUAGGGCUUCUAAUAUAUGGCACAGGAAAGCUGAAGUCAGCAUACCCCAGACAACUUUCUCGGAAGAGUUGCUCACCUCUAUUUAUGUGGGACCCACCUGAAUGCAAUAAUUAAGAAGAAUCCAUUCUAUUUCAACAUCCAUUUGUAAUGACACAGAGAAUUUCUUAACUUGAGGUUUCAUACAGACAAUGGGGAGAUUGGUUAUAAACAAAUACACCUACCUUUAGUUGAGAAAUGGGUAUAAUUUAUAGUAGAGUUAACCAAAGCAAAACAUUACUUAUUGAAACUAUAAAUAGUAGAUAUUCUGAGGAUUUGAUAUAAACGUUCAAUUUCUCCUCACCAAUAAAGUGGUGAUAGUAGCUAGGAAGAUAGGACCAGGUUAAUAAUCUCUGCCUAGAUAAAUCAGAUUUGGAUUUCUUUUCUUACAUUCUAUUUGACUUAGAGUGUUUUUCAGUUUGUGUUAUGAAACAGCAAUAGGCUUAAUUAUGUAGUGUCCAUAUAUGUGUUCCCAACACUAAUUGAAAAAAUACAAUGUUUGAAAUUUAUUUAAAUUACUAUAACAUUAUAAGUAAAAUUGUUAUAAAUUUUGAAAAAUGCAUAAAAGCUAACAAAUAUGUACUAAUGCAUUGAUCCUCUACAUCCUAUUAUAUUUGCUUCAAAUUAUCAAAACAUUCUUAUGCCUAUUGCAAUUAAAGGAAAUAUAAAUUAGGAUGUACUUAGUAUAGUUCUUGGCACAUAUUUAGAAUUCUGUUUUUUUAUUAUUAUUAAUAAAAGUGUAUAUUCCUUAAUAAGAAUUAUAAGUGGAAUAAGGCAUACAUUACAAUGAGGUAUGUGAUACUUACCUCCUUGAAACUAUGGUUUAGCAGAAAAAUUAGAUAAACAAUAAAACCAAUAAAGGUUAAUAGAUAUUAUGAUAGGCCAAAUAUAGAUUUCCUUAAAAAUAUAUAACUGGAGCAAGCUAUCCACCUAAUGGUUACUUUUCUUUUUAUCCAGAAGCUCUGGUAUGCGCAUGCUCGCUCUUGCGGCAUGUUCGUGCACGCGCUCUCUCUAUAUAUACUUUAUUGAAGGAAUGGUUUAAUAUGAGCGCUGACUUCCAAAUUGUUUCUAAUGUUCUCCACAUUCAGUAAUUUAACAUAUAUUUCAUAUUCCAGUCUUUCCAGAGAAAAAAGGAUCUUUCCUUUUGUGUUGGAGUUGAAAACUGAUAUCCCACUGGGCAAGCCUACAUGCCCCCUGACAACUAUUUUUUAAACUUAAUUAUAAGCAACUUAAAGGUUUAAUUGUUUUGCCAUUUCACACCCAAUGUUAAAUAAGUAAUUUUCUUUUUAUGUAUAGUAUUUAUCACUUUAUAUAAAUCAUGAGGCAGAGAUAACGAUAAAUAUAUACGGAGAAAUUAAAAUUAACUUUUCCAAGAAAGCACAAAACAAUUACAUUGAGAGUUUCUCUGUAGAGUCACUGGUGAUCAAUGACUACUUUACAAAAGAAGUUAAGGUUAUCAAACAAGAAUGAUUCUUGGGAGUUCCAUUGUGGCACAGUGGGUUAAGGAUCUGACAUUGUCAUUGCAGCAGCUUGGUUUCAAUCCCUGGCUCAGGACCUUCCACAUGCCAUGGGUUCCCCUGGAGUGAAGAUGUUUAACUGCAAAUUCAUGGCCCUCAAGGGUUUCAUUACUGGGCAUGGUAAGAAGCAGGGGUGACAACUUUUGCUCUCUGCAUACAUUGCGCAUCUUUCUGGAGAGAGGAUCUGUACUUUUAAUCUGUUUCUCAAAUGGAGUCACAACUGUAAAAUGGCAAGAAACCCUGUUCUCAAGGGUGUGGCAAGUCAACUUAAAUCUAUAGGAAGGGACCAAAUGACAGAAGUAGCAGCAUAUAGCCUCUUCCAGUUGGAACUAGAUGACUCCUGGUGAGUCCCUGUUCUAGUUUUCUUUCAAACCCCUGCAAGAUUGAUGACAGGUCAUUUUUCAGCAUGCUACAAAAAGCCAUAAAGUCCCUAUGAUAGUUUCCGUAAAGGUUAGCUGGUUGAUUUGUGACCUGGGAAGUCUUUUCUUCCAGCUUAUGAUUUUCCAAAAGAAAGUUUGUGGGGAAAGAUCUUGAGGAGAAGGCAGGAUAUUUAUGACAUGAUGAGCAGUCUGUACGUGGGUUUCACACUGAGAAGAGAGGAUGGAUGAGGGUGAGCAUCAGGUUGUAGCUAGUUACCUGAUAUCCUGAGGAUGCGUUGAGCUUAGAGGUCACCCAGCCCUAGUGGAGUGUCACCUUUAUAGAGAUGUGACCGAGCUGUGCCAUUAACUUUGUGUAGUACUAAAUAAUGUUAUGAGUAGCAGCAUUUUGUAAUUAUCAAAGUUCAGGCUUGGAGCUGUUUCUCCUGGGCUCAAAUCCUGGCCCUCUCACUGAGAUACUCUAUUACACUGGACAACUUUCCUAAUUCUGUCUCAUUAGCAAAACAGGGUGGUAAGUAAUAAGACCUACUGCAUGGGCUUGCUCUUAGACUUUAAUGUUAUUAUGUAUUAAGUACUUAGAAGAGUGUCUUACAUGGGGAACUAUAUUCCAUAUCUUGUAGUAACCUAUAAUAGAAAAUAAUCUGAAAAUAUAU